GUUUAAGAGAUGUUGAUCGUUGCAUAAAAUUGGUUUUAUGGUUUUACACAUUUCUAGCAAAGAAAAAUGUUAAAAUGCGAGAAAAGGAUCGUGUAAUCCAAUCUAUUAUUUUAGGAACGGCUAUUUGUUAUCACAGUAGAUUUUCACAUGGAUCAACAAGACGGAAUUAUCGUACACUGUUAGGAAAGUGUAUAUCUUCUAUCAUGCCCUAUCGAAUAUCUGAGAAAACUGUUUUAGACGUAAUCUUGAAUGAACAAAAAGAUAUCCUUGAUAGAAUGACGGA
This 283-nucleotide long non-coding RNA is filed under the name Mytilus galloprovincialis (Mediterranean mussel). Lineage: Eukaryota; Metazoa; Mollusca; Bivalvia; Mytilida; Mytilidae. The record is from RNAcentral.